UCCUCUGGGGAUCUUGUUAGCCUACAGAUUUGGAUUCUGUGGGGCCUGAGAUUCUGCAUUCCUAACAAGUUUCUAGGAGGUGC
RNAcentral lists this microRNA precursor (83 nucleotides) under Chlorocebus sabaeus (green monkey). RNAcentral's name for it is "miRNA (ENSCSAG00000026689.1)". Lineage: Eukaryota; Metazoa; Chordata; Mammalia; Primates; Cercopithecidae. The record is from RNAcentral.